This 4871-nucleotide long non-coding RNA is filed under the name Coffea arabica (coffee). RNAcentral's name for it is "long non-coding RNA (CARA_LNC007230)". Lineage: Eukaryota; Viridiplantae; Streptophyta; Magnoliopsida; Gentianales; Rubiaceae. The record is from RNAcentral.
UUUUUUUUUUUUUUUUUUUUUUGUUAUAGAAGAAAUGAGGUUUAUCAAAUAGAUUGCUAGAAAUUAUUCAAACACAUUUUAUUGGACAAAAUUUGGAGGAGAAUUUCGAAAGACUUAAGGAGAUUGGUGAAUUUUGCAUUCUGACCUAAGUUAAGUUAUGCACAACCUUAUUGGUUUUUUUUUUUUUUUAGUAAUCCAAUUUACAUUAAUAAAUAUGUUGAUCUAAUAUAUCAAACAAAGCGGUUGUUAAUUAAGAUGGAUAAUAAGUUGGCAAUUACCCUAAACAAUUACAAGUUCUAGCAAAGCCGAUCAACCUUCCUAUCAAUUUAUCCAUCUUAAUUAUUCAUUUCUAUCUUCACAAUUGUUGAAUAUUAAAUUGCAUAUAAAUAACAAGCGUUCCAUGAAUUCCUUAUCUGUUGUUGAGGUCAACAGUAAUUAAUCCUAUCAAAGCAACUAACGUAACUAUAUAUUAAAAUAAAAAAAGUUUGAAUGGAAGAAAAUAGUCUGCUGGUUAAAUGGCUCCAAUUUGUUAAUUGACCAUCAAUAAUCAGAAUUAUCAGCUAUUACUUUUGCAUAUAGCUUGACCUUGGAGUGAUUGCAUGACAAUAAUAGAUCGGAUGAACUUGACAUAUAUAAGCUUGUCUUAUUGAUUAAACAGGUUUUUGGGUCAAUUAACGAGUUGGGAUUACAUUUUAACCCAAAACUCUUGCCUUAUAAAUGUCAAUUAAGGGUGCUUUCAAAAUAUUUAGGGAGAAUUUACAUGUUCAUUAUCAAAAUUAAUAACUUCAGAAGUGAAAGAAAGAAACUAGUUAGUCUUCUUCUUUGUCUUGAUGGACCGAUGCAGCUUUGAUAGUCUUAUUUGUUUGUAUUUUCUAACUAUUGCCAGAAACAAGUCGGACCUACCUUAUUCUACAGCUGGCAUCUUGUGGAAUGCUGCCGCUCAGAAAAACAAAUUUUUUUUUUUUAAAAAAGUGGAAUCUAGAAAAUUCUUGAAACUUCACAUAGAAUUUUGUCAUGGCACCAGAAAAAAUACAAAUAGAAACCCCACAUAGAGGUUUCUGUGCGUGGCACAUAUCAAAGUGGUCAAAAAUCAUUUUCUAUGGUAUAGACCUAUGAUACGUGGAAUAUGCAGAGAAUCAGGAGGUAGUGUAAAACAUUUUCUUGGGUUAUAAUUCACUGGACAAUUAAGAGCCCAUUUCGAUUGUAUUUUUUUGGAAAAUUUUUGAAGAAAAAUUACAGUGAGUACCAGUGGCGGAGCCACAUGGAAGCAAGCGGAGUCAAUUGACCCCACUUAACUUUGAAAAAAAAUUAGGAUGUGUUUGGAUUGCAUUUUCCGUCAUUUUUCAUGGAAAAAAUACUGUAGCGAUUUGAUAUAUGUGAGGGAAAAAGGUGAUAGGAAAAUGUGAUCACGGAAAACGACAAUAUUUUCCGACGGAAACAAACAAUCCAAACAUAGUUUUUAGGGUUAGAAAAUUUUAAAGUCACAUUUUAUUUGACCUCAUUAAAUUUUAACAAAUUCUCUUUUCUAUAUAUAUUGACCACCAAACGAUUGAAAAUUCAUAAUUGUUACUAUCACAUGAAUUUUGAAUUUAUUUCAAAUUAUUUAUGAAAGUUAUUUCAAGAAUAAAUUCUUCCAAAUUUUCCAAAAACAAGGAAUAAGCUUUCUUGAGUGGAGUGGUAAAGCCAAUUCUUUCUAAUGCACACUUCCAAAUAGGGAUGGCAACGGGGCGGGGGACCCCUCCCCCAUCUCUCGCCCCGCUGCCUACAAACUCCUCCCGCCCCCGCCCCAUCCCCCGUCCCCCGCUCCCCCCGCCCCGUCCCGCUUCCCUCGCGGGGCUAAUAAAAAUUUGUUAUAUAAUUUUAUUAUAGUUAAAUUUUAGCAAAUAAUCAAGUACUAAAAUAUUAACAUAUCAUCAAAUUAUUAUUCAUUGUAAUUUGAUAAUUGAAACUUAUAAAAACAAUCAAACAAAAAUUAUUUGAAUACAAUCCAACAUGAUGAAAUAAAUAUAACUAAAGUAGUCAAGUUUUCACUUUUGGUACAAAUACAAUCACUAAUUCAUUACUGUGCUUGUGCUUUUUUUAAGAAAAAAAAAUAUUAUUGUAUUAAGUGUAAUUAGGGAUUUAGUAUAAAUGUAUUAGUAAAUUUAGUAUAACCAAUUAAUAAUUUGUAUUAGUACACAUAUAUAAUUAUUAGUAUAAUUAAUAAUAUCAAUUAUAUUAUAUAUACUAAUAGACAUCAUAUAAUACAUAUAACUAAUAAUAUCAUUAUCAUAAGUUUGUAACUAAUUAAAUUAUAUAUUAUAUAUAAUUAUAUACCUAUAUAUAUUUUAUAUAUUUAUUUUUUUAAAUCGGGUGGCGGGGUGGGGGUUGGGGCAGGGGUACACUCCCCCACCCCCGUCCCGUUUCUAAGCCGGGGGGGGGGGGGAAUUCCCCCUGCCCCCGCCCCAACCCCCUCCCCAUUAGCCCCCCGCGGGGCGGGUGCCCGCGGUCGCCUGCCCCCAUUGCCAUCCCUACUCUCAAAGUUUCCAAAAACAAGGAAUAAACUUUCUUGAAUGAAGUGGUAAAACCAAUUUAAAAGUUUUCAAAAACAAGAAAUUUUCAAGUGGAUGCUAAAUUUUCUAUUUAUGUUAUGAAGUUAGGUUAUUAUGAUUUUUAUUUAUAACAGACUAAAGAUAAGUUUCUUAAAAGAAACCCUUAGAAGAUCAAGUUGAUGAUAGUUCGCAAAAUGUUUAAAAGAAAACAUCAAGAACUUCAUUUACUCACAUUGAAAAUGAUGUAUUUAACAAAAUUGAUAAUUAAUUGAUUUUGCAAUGUUUUUAUAAGAUGAGUACUUGUAGGUCAAUGAAAAUUGAUAUUAUUAAAAAAAAAUAGAGUACUUAUAGGGUACAAUUAUAAAUGUUUUGCAAAUUUAUUAUUUUUAGUACAUGUUUAACCUAUCAUUAGGAUAGUAUUGUAAAUCAAAUCAUACUGGAUGAUUUCUAGCAAUUUGUCAAUGAAACUUUCUUUUUAUCCCCAAAAAAAAUCUGUAAGGAUUUUUUACUUUUUAUUCUUAUAUUUUGAUUUUUGCUUUGUAAAAGUUUUAAUGUAUUAUAAAAAAAAUAAGUUUUUUGUACUAAUGUAUUAUAAAAUAAGUUUAAUGUAAGGAUUUUUUACUUUUUAUUCUUAUAUUUUGAUUUUUGCUUUGUAAAAGUUUUAAUGUAUUAUAAAAAAAAUAAGUAUUUUGUACUAAAAUUUGACCCCACUUACUAUGGAGUCUUGGCUCCACCACUGAUUGUAACAUUUUUUUUAUAUAAAUAUGAUGUAUAUAAGAUAAAAAGAUAUAUGGCUCAAAAAGAUGAAAAAAAGUUUUUCAAUUUUUCACGAGGCAAUAGUAAGGGAGGUGGAAGAAUACAGACGCAUUUUCGUCUACUUUCAAUCUUCAGUUUCGGUUUAUUUAUUAUUGUUUCGAUUGGAAUCGGAUGUAGCUUCAGUAGUCAGACUAAUCUUGUGCAAAGCGCUGGAAAAAGAAUGGUGCAAUGUCCGAAUACAACUCCAAAACAAGGAAGUGCUGAGACAAAUCAAGCAUGGUAAAUCAUCGAAUGGCAGACUGGCAACGAUCCUAGAGGAUAUCUUUUGCUUAAUGUCAUUGUUUCGAAUGUGCUCUUUUUACUAGAUAGUAAUGAUAAUAGUAACACUAUUGCUAAUGUUAGCUCAUAUGCCUUAGGCAUUUUGAUGGAUGAGGAAGGAUCUUUUCCUCUGUGUUGCUGAACACAAGUUGUACAGCUUGACGAGCCGUUGCUCGAAUUGUAAAGUCAUCUUUUAGAUCAAUACAAGUAAUCUAACGUUUCGAGAAAAAAAAAAGUGAUAGUGCCCAAAUUGGGGGAUAAUGAGUUUUGGGUAAUAGAAGACCCAAAAGUGGGUGCUGAACAAACUCAUAGUAGUACAUCAAACAAUAUCAGUAGGUGUCAUUACCCUCUCAAUUCCACUGAGGAGUUAAAAACAAAAAAAAAACCCAACCAAUUGGGUGGUUAGAACAACUAGCAAAAGUCACAAACAUGUUAUAUUAAUUACAACUUGGUGCAUUAAGUACAAAAGAAAGUCAAACAACACGUGCUUCGACGUAGACUAAUUUUAGCACACUUCAUUGUGAUUAACUACCGUCGCACAUCAAAGAAGUUAACUUUCUCCCUACAUAAGUUGGCUCAAUUAGCAAGCACAUAUCACUUUUUCCAAAAGAUAGUAUGUUCAAAUCCCAUCGAUGUGAGAGCUGUGUUAGUGGACGAUCUAUAAAAAUCUCUAUAAGUGAUCUAUUAUCAUGGAUUACUUAAUUUCCUAUAAGCACACACGCCGUGCGAAACUAGCAUGGCAUUCAAGAGUUUUACAAAUGCAAUACAAGUUUUUCUUAGUCUCCGAUACAACUAGCAUGACAAGUUGCUCAUUAUUAUACUAUAACUAGUCCAUCAUAUGUUACAUCACACAUUCUUAUUCUAGUAAGACUAGGGAAUUACUUUCCGUGCGAGGCGUGGGAGUGAUAGACUUGUUGAGAAGGCAAAUUUGUCUGUUGAUUGUGUAGUGAAUAUUUUCUAUUGAAUCAUAUCUUUAGGCUAACAUUUUAUACCGAAUAAUAACUAUAGCAAUGCGAUGCGAUGCGAAGACACACUAAAAGCCAUAAAUCAAUAUAUCAUGAUGUAUGCUCCAUAGAGAGUCAUAGAUUACAAAUACACAGAACUCGAUACUUAACCUAAUAUAGGAUACUUGGUAUAUUGAUGCAGAAAAAUGAAAAUAAACAUCGUCAGUGAGUUGAUUAACCAAAGUCCAAGUUAAAUGGACUUGCCUACAAUAAACCAAAUACACAAUUUGAACACUUAAAAUAAGACAUAAAUAGGGAAUAU